RNAcentral lists this long non-coding RNA (983 nucleotides) under Vigna radiata. Its description in RNAcentral is "long non-coding RNA (VRAD_LNC004179)". Lineage: Eukaryota; Viridiplantae; Streptophyta; Magnoliopsida; Fabales; Fabaceae. The record is from RNAcentral.
UUCAGGAAUGGGUAGAAAGAGCGAGAGAGCAAGCAGCAUGAGUGGCGGAGGAGAAGGAGAGAGUCUGGAGUUCACUCCCACGAAGGAAGCGUCGCCGACGCGGAAGAGGUCUCGAAGAAGGGUGGUUGGAGAAUCCUCUCUUGAAGAUUAAAGAAGGUUUCUUUUUCUUUUCUUUUCUUUUCUUUUCUCUUCCUGAGUUCUAUACUCCCUUUUUCAUCAUCAACUCAAUAAGCAGCAUGAGUGGCGGAGGAGAAGGAGAGAGUCUGGAGUUUACUCCCACNAAGGAAGCGUCGCCGGCGCGGAUGAGGUCUUGAAGAAGCGGGUGGUUGGAGAAUCCUCUCUUGAAGGUUAAAGAAGGGUUCUUUUUCUUUUCUUUUCUCUUUUUUAUUUUAUUUUAUUUUCUUUUCCCUUCCUGGGUUCUAUGCUCCCUUUCCCAUCAUCAACUCAAUUAUUUUCUUUUUUUUUUUCUCUUUCCCCGCUUUUCUCUGUUCAUGCUAUCACUCUCUUUCUAUAUUCGGAUUCGUCAAUGGAAACACUGGGAAGAUUCAAUUGCAAAAAAGAAAUACGAAACCGACCAAGGUACAUUAUUUCUUUUCUUUUCUUUCUUCAAUUCUUUCUUUCUGCAUCCUCCUCUAUCCAUCUUCAAUUACUUUUAUCAUUCCUCUGCAUUUUUUUUUAUUGUUGAUAAAUAUAACAUGCUUUAUGCUUUUGGUAUCGCCUCAUUUUACUGUGUCAACUAAAGCAUCACACCUUUGCAAAGAAUUUUCUAGUUGUUUUUGAAUCUUUUUAUUUCCUCGCNGGGAGCAGCGUUGGACUUUUAGUACAAAUGCCAAUGUAAUCGCUUACAACAUGACCGUAAUCGAUUAGAAUUGCAAACACUAAAUACAGACCUGGUAAAUAACAAAGUCAUUAGCAACAGCACAUUGGGAAGCCCUUCUCUAGCAGGGGCAGGGAGCAGCGUUGGACUUUUUGUACAAAUGCCA